Molecule: ribosomal RNA, 253 nt
Filed under: uncultured bacterium
Lineage: Bacteria
Description: partial 16S ribosomal RNA
Rfam family: Bacterial small subunit ribosomal RNA
Source: RNAcentral
UACGAAGGGGGCUAGCGUUGCUCGGAUUUACUGGGCGUAAAGAGCGCGCAGGCGGUCGUUCAAGUCGCGUGUGAAAGCCCCCGGCUCAACUGGGGAGGGUCACGCGAUACUGAUCGACUCGAAGGCAGGAGAGGGUAGUGGAAUUCCCGGUGUAGUGGUGAAAUGCGUAGAUAUCGGGAGGAACACCAGUGGCGAAGGCGACUACCUGGCCUGUUCUUGACGCUGAGGCGCGAAAGCUAGGGGAGCAAACGGG